Molecule: ribosomal RNA, 886 nt
Filed under: uncultured archaeon
Lineage: Archaea
Description: bacterial SSU rRNA
Rfam family: Archaeal small subunit ribosomal RNA
Source: RNAcentral
CAUGGGGUGGGAUGAACUAGCCCUGCGAGUCAUUGUAGUAUACAAGGCAGACGGCUCAGUAACGCGUAGUCAACCUACCCUAUGGACGGGGAUAACCUCGGGAAACUGAGAAUAAUACCCGAUAGAACAUUAUGCCUGGAAUGGUUUAUGUUUCAAAUAAUUUAUUGCCGUAGGAUGGGACUGCGGCCUAUCAGUUUGUUGGUGAGGUAAUGGCCCACCAAGACUAUUACAGGUACGGGCUCUGAGAGGAGUAGCCCGGAGAUGGGUACUGAGACACGGACCCAGGCCCUAUGGGGCGCAGCAGGCGAGAAAACUUUGCAAUGUGCGAAAGCACGACAAGGUUAAUCCGAGUGGUUUCUGCUAAAGGAACCUUUUGUCAGUCCUAGAAACACUGAUGAAUAAGGGGUGGGCAAGUUCUGGUGUCAGCCGCCGCGGUAAAACCAGCACCUCAAGUGGUCAGGAUGAUUAUUGGGCCUAAAGCAUCCGUAGCCUGCUUUGUAAGUUUUCGGUUAAAUCCAUAUGCUCAACGUAUGGGCUGCCGGGAAUACUGCAAAGCUAGGGAGUGGGAGAGGUAGACGGUACUCGGUAGGAAGGGGUAAAAUCCUUUGAUCUAUUGAUGACCACCUGUGGCGAAGGCGGUCUACCAGAACACGUCCGACGGUGAGGGAUGAAAGCUGGGGGAGCAAACCGGAUUAGAUACCCGGGUAGUCCCAGCUGUAAACUAUGCAAACUCAGUGAUGCAUUGGCUUGAUGCCAAUGCAGUGCUGCAGGGAAGCCGUUAAGUUUGCCGCCUGGGAAGUACGUACGCAAGUAUGAAACUUAAAGGAAUUGGCGGGGGAGCACCACAAGGGGUGAAGCCUGCGGUUCAAUUGGAGUCAACGCCGGG